AUUGAACGCUGGCGGCAGGCCUAACACAUGCAAGUCGAGCGGAUGAAGGGGGCUUGCGCCUGGAUUCAGCGGCGGACGGGUGAGUAAUGCAUAGGAAUCUGCCUGGUAUUGGGGGAUAACGUCCGGAAACGGGCGCUAAUACCGCAUACGACCAGAUGGAGAAAGGGGGGGAUCUUCGGACAUCAAGGGAGCAGAUGAGCCGAGGUGGGAUUAGCUAGUUGGUUGGGUAAAGGCCUACCAAGGCGACGAUCCGUAACUGGUCUGAGAGGAUGAUCAGUCACACUGGAACUGAGACACGGUCCAGACUCCUACGGGAGGCAGCAGUGGGGAAUAUUCGACAAUGGGCGAAAGCCUGAUCCAGCCAUGCCGCGUGUGUGAAGAAGGUCUUCGGAUUGUAAAGCACUUUAAGUUGGGAGGAAGGGCAGUAAGUUAAUACCUUGCUGUUUUGACGUUACCAACAGAAUAAGCACCGGCUAACUUCGUG
This 484-nucleotide ribosomal RNA is filed under the name uncultured bacterium. RNAcentral describes it as "partial 16S ribosomal RNA". It matches the Rfam family "Bacterial small subunit ribosomal RNA", at positions 30 to 507 of the family's 1533-position model. The record is from RNAcentral.